GGACGGGUGAGUAACGCGUGAGAAUCUGCCUUCAGGUCGGGGAUAACAGUUGGAAACGGCUGCUAAUACCGGAUGUGCCGAGAGGUGAAAGAUUUAUUGCCUGGAGAUGAGCUCGCGUCUGAUUAGCUAGUUGGUGGUGUAAGGGACCACCAAGGCGUCGAUCAGUAGCUGGUCUGAGAGGAUGAUCAGCCACACUGGGACUGAGACACGGCCCAGACUCCUACGGGAGGCAGCAGUGGGGAAUUUUCCGCAAUGGGCGAAAGCCUGACGGAGCAAUACCGCGUGAGGGAGGAAGGCUCUUGGGUCGUAAACCUCUUUUCUCAAGGAAGAAGAAAGUGACGGUACUUGAGGAAUAAGCAUCGGCUAACUCCGUGCCAGCAGCCGCGGUAAUACGGAGGAUGCAAGCGUUAUCCGGAAUGAUUGGGCGUAAAGGGUCUGCAGGUGGAACUGAAAGUCUGCUGUUAAAGAGUUUGGCUUAACCAAAUAAAAGCGGUGGAAACUACAGAACUAGAGUGCGGUAGGGGCAAAAGGAAUUCCUGGUGUAGCGGUGAAAUGCGUAGAUAUCAGGAAGAACACCGGUGGCGAAAGCGUUUUGCUAGACCGUAACUGACACUGAGGGACGAAAGCUAGGGGAAA
This 636-nucleotide ribosomal RNA is filed under the name Sphaerospermopsis reniformis DRL_16. RNAcentral's name for it is "bacterial SSU rRNA". It matches the Rfam family "Bacterial small subunit ribosomal RNA", at positions 100 to 769 of the family's 1533-position model. Lineage: Bacteria; Bacillati; Cyanobacteriota; Cyanophyceae; Nostocales; Aphanizomenonaceae. The record is from RNAcentral.